AACUCCUGACUGUAACCUAACCAAGGGACAAGUUUCUCUGUGCACAACAGGUUUGGUGAAGUCCAACUUCACUUGUACUUGUCUCUGAUGCAGUAAAUCUUAGUAUCUGUCACUAUGCUCACUUCUCUCCCAAAUCACCUACUAAACAUCAGCUUGGUGGGAGACAUCCUGUGCCCUGGCUAAUUCUCACUUGGGAAAAUGUGUGUUUACUUGCUGGCCAGCCAGCAGGCAGGGGACAGCUGCAGCUUUUUCUUGGCAGGAGCAGGAAUGUAGCUCCCCUCUCUCCCUUCUCACUAUGGAAUUUCUCUUUCCCUUCAAACAUGUAGAAACACCAUGUUUUUGAGACAGCUAGGUUUAACAGGAGAAGCUAAAAUCACUCAAAGGCUUCACUCAUUAUCAAAGUGAGGCAACACAAUCUCGAAAUUGUAAAAUGAGAUUUCAGUAUGCUGCAUUUUUGGUGAUGAAAAGGUGUGUGGGGAGGUGGGAUGUGCAGGGAGCAGAUGGCUCUGUCUGCAUCUGCCUUGCUGUUUGCUGGGCCCCCUCCCCAUUCACCUGGCCUAAAGCUGAGUGUUUGAAACCUCUCCAGCUGCAGGAGGCUCCUGGCACCACCUCAUGCACUUGAAGGUGCACUGACUUUUUCCCAGAUCACAGGUUCUUGCAGAGCUGCUCACUCUGUUUGGAUACAGCCUCCUGCAGCCUUUGCUCCUUGCUUUAUAACAGCAUCUGCUGUGCUGGCUUGAUAAAGCAUAUCUGCCUGUGACUGGACUGUCCUUCCUCUUCAGUGUCUUGAUCUUGGUGUUUUCCAUUUAAUAUUUGAAGCGCUCUCUGCAGAUCCCAGCUCUCCCUGUCUCACCCAAGGGUAGGCAGUCCUUGACCCAUCACACCACGGUAGUCUGGAGAAGUCAAUGCAGGAAGCAACACAGCACUGGAAUUUUGAACAGAAUUAUGUUUUUUCACCCUCAGUAACAGGACAUCUCCCAUGCUUUGUGCACUCACAUGGAGCAGAGCAUUAAGGCAGCAGGCAUGUGCCUUAGCUGGAGGCACUGCCAGCGAUCUGCCAGUGUACUGCACACAGCUUGGAAGUCACAGCCAAGAUGUAGAAUUAGGGUACAUUCCUAGCACAAGAUUUUCUCAGUUAGCAGGGGAUGGGUGCCCUGAGGCUGGGAUUGUCACACUGGCUUGGUGGGUCCUUGCACAAUGAAGCUGCUGUGUGUUGGAGACAGCAGAGCGCUGGUGCUGUCAUGUACUUGUGGUGAGAGUGUUGAGGAUGGCUUGUUAUCUGUGCUUGGAGGAAGGAUUUGAUUAGAAACUGUCUCACAAAUGUGUGGUUAUUGAAUGAGUUGCUCCUUUAGUAUGCAUGAGCCAUCUCCACAUACGUGACAAGUGCAUCUGUCUUGGGCAGGCAGCUGCUCUAAAGGAAAGCAGAUGAGCUUUCCUCAUCACAAGCUUUUCCUCAUCAAGCUUUUUCUAAAUUGCUCCCUGCAUGGAGCAAUUCUACAACAAUAUUAAACACAGCAGCAGGGGUGAGUCAAGCAGAUCUUGUCAAAGCUGCCCUAUUUUUUCUCUUUUUGGUUUUAUUAUAAAUUGAAUUCACUGUGCCACAGGGAACAGAGCUGUUCUCAGCACGAUUGGUAGCAACAAAUAGCCACCCAGGAAAAAUAUGUAUUGUGUGGUAACUGGGAAGAACCUCCUGUUCUCAACAUCUUCAGCCUAUCUGGGGCUUGUUGCCAUGAAAUUGUGGAGCUUAACUAAAGCAUGAUUGGGCUGUGAGAAAAUCCCUUUAGCCACUGGUUAACUGAGCUUUACCACACUGUGUGUGUGUCGUUGUCUUCAGAAGUUGGUGAGACCAUAAAUUUAGCAAGAUGGAGUGUCCAGCUCAGGUUCUUAAAUGGAAAACAAGGCAACCUGGUGCUGGAAUCAACAGUGAUGAGGGAAACUUGGGUGUUACUGUCCAGACAUAAACCAGUCCUGAGAUGCUGGAGGACAGGUGUGCAGGCAGUUUGUGGUUCUUGCACCUCUUUGGGAAGUGUCUGGUGUUGGUCUGGAUAAGAGAUGAGAUGAGGCAGCCCUCGGACUUGACAUGGAGGCCUUGACAGCACUCUGCCUGGCCUGGGGCUCUGCAUAGCUUUCUGUUGCGAGAGCGCAUCUCCCAUUUGCACAACUUUGCUUUGCUAAUAUCAAGAUAAUUCUCGGUGUUGUUCAACGUCGGUUUUUGCCCAAACCAUGAACAGCAGUUUAACAGUUACUGUAGCCUCAGAUUUGUAAAACUUGUGGGCAGCAGGUGAGCUGUACUGGAACAUGGAGGGUCUUUGAAGCAAACACCAGCCCGGUUCUUGGAUAACUUGGGCUGCUAGCAAGUAGUUGUCCCACCAGUUACUUGUCUUGGAAACUUCAGUUGUCCUGUGGAUGACACAACUUCUAAUUUGAAUUAAUGUCAAAGUAAAGGGUGCCUGAAGAAAUAAACUACCUUGGCUGUUUGUGUUGCAGUGAGUUCUCUGCAACUUGAAGUUUUUCUUUCCUGCAGACCCCCAAUUUGCCAAUGCUCAGAUCUUGGCUUCCACCUCUGGAGUGUGCAGUGACCCCAGCACAGACCUGGCCUGCCCAGGGCAGGAAUGAGUGAAGAGCACAGCUGGGCCCUGCUGGGCAAGAGAAGGAGGACUUGGAGAUGGCUGUGCACCAGUGAUGCAGGUAAGGGAGGUAAGGAGGCAAGAUGAGGCUGCUGGAACCUCAAUGGUCUUAGGAUUCCUCUGGUCUUUCUGCAGCCUGCAAAGUAGGUCCUUGCAGCCUCUGUCUCUGUUCCUGCGCUUGCCCAGACACUGCUGGGUUAAGUGGACAGGAAAUCCUCCCUAGGAGGUGACUUAAUUACAACCAGACAAAGCCUCAAGGAUCAGGGCCUCCAGGUAAGCCUCUGACAUCUCUGGUUGCUCAGCCCAGUGGAGUUGGGACCAUGCAGGGAACUGGUUUCACAGCUCUCUUGUGCUGGCUGAGGUUGUGCUGUGGGGGACAGGAAAAUAGCCCAGUGUCCCAGCAUGAAUCAGCCAUCCAUUCAUACCCAGCUUCUCCAGCAGUACCAGGCAGUCCUGCACGGAGAUGGGCUGCAAGGAUAAAGGACUGACUCUCUUGUGACAGGAGGGUUCAUGCCAGAUGUGGCUGACUGCUGUUGGUGACAGGAGAAAGAGACUUGGACUGAAGAGCUUUCCUACGCUCUGGGUGUUCAGGGCUGAAGAUCCAGUCACUACAUCACUGUCCAAGUGCUUUGGGUUGGAAGUUCAGGCUCCAUCUCUAAGAAUUGAGGAGACAAGCCUACAAACAAGAAUCUUCUGACUUGGUGCCUUUUCAUAUUUGGUUUUGCAAUUCUCUUGUGUUUUAAAGGAUUUUUGCUAGGCUAGGAUAUGAUUUACUCUUGGCUUCCUUUUCCAUUUGUUUCAAGCUGAACUCCAUGAGGGCACAGUGUUGUACUGUUGUGCUGACUGCCUGCCAGUGGCUUUGAACGUGAUGGCCAUGCUUCAGUUCAUUGAAAAGCUCAAAGAUCAGUGAAGCUUUUAAAAGUUCCUAACAGAUCUCUGAAACCACAAAGCCAGCUGAUAGAAACCUUGCCAUCCACUGACCAAGAAACAGGCUGUAGCAGACUUGAACUGUGGCAGACGUGAGAAAAAAAAAAACCAAACCAGAAACUAAUUAUCCAAAUACUAAAUCCAUGAGGGACCUGGUUUCCUUAGGUCUGCUGUUGAUGGAGGUCCUUGCACGGCAGAGAAAACAAAAUCACUCACCAAGUAGAAACUAAAUGAGUGGAAAAAAUUUCUGGAUUGCUUGCAGCUAUUUGCCAGUAGUGUAAGGCAGGAAAAGGUUAAACAUUAAUUUCUAUUUAUCUCUUUUGUACUUUUUUUCACUUGUCCAGUGCUAAUUCAGUGUAGCAGCCUGGAGGGUGGAUGGCACACACAGUGCUGGGGAAAGAGAUGCUUUUGGGUGAGGAUAUAGUGUGAAUGUUCACCUUUGGGGGUAUCUUGCCAGGCCAGGGCUGCUGUUGCCAGUCAGGCCAAAUGUCACUGAGCUGUUGGGUGAGGGUUUGGCCUUGGCAGCCAGGGUUGCUGCUGCUGUGGAGUUACCCUGCUGCAGCCGGGCCCAUUCAGUACUGUGUGCCUGGACAGAUGAGAAGGUGAUGACUUAGCCUGUGCUAUAACCCCUGCCUUGGGUUUCUCCAAGCCUGUCAAUUGUGAGUCACUAUUUGUUUAUUUACAAAGCACACAGAAAUGAUAUCAAUACUAAGGCUGUUACAGACACUGCUGUUUGGACAUCAGACUGUGUUUGUAGAGCAGAGGCAGAGCAAUUGCACAAUCUAUGUAAGUAGUCAACCAUUCCUAAGAAAACCACUCAGAUAUCUCAGGUUUUCUACCUGGUCAAUUGCUUGAGCCAAAUGACCUGAUUCUCUCCUUGCUUUUACAAUGUAGAGGGUUUGAUUUUCCUGCUGCAAAGGUGUUUUACUGUGUGUGGGCUUUGUGUCAUCUUUCCACCACCCCUACUGCAUAAAAGCAUUAGAUCAAAAACUGUAAGAACACCACAUCCAUACAGGUGCAUUUCACUUGGGAAGGACAGGGGUUGCAUAAAAGAUAUGUUCAACUUAAUUUAACGUGAUUAUCCAUGAUUUUAUUUGUUAAUGCUAAAGCUUCCUCUCCACAGUCUAAGCCCAGAACCCCUUUGUGAAUGCUGGUUUCACCAGCACAGCAGGGACCAGAGCUCAGCUCAGGGGCAGAGUCUGUACCACACUGAACAAGGUAAAAGAGCUCAUGGUGGGGUUGGCACCAGGAACCUUUACCUUAUAAUUAUGACAUCUGGAGGUGAUAUGAGGGUACCUCUUUAUAGUAGCAAGGAAAUGUUUCUGUAACUGUGCAAGAAACAUAUUGUCAGCACUAACAGUAAAAUUAUGCUUUUGCUGUUGACUUUGUAAGAUCAAAGCAGCCCCCUCCUUGUGACAGAAAAUCUGCUCUAGCAUAAUCCUCAGCUAAGAUAACGGGCCACAGGUAGGUGUUAGUUGUUUGGCCUAGCUUAAGAGAGCUGGGAAUCUCUGUUUAUAAUUAGAGUAAAUAAGCUUGCUGGAAAAUCGUCAUCCUCUUCUUCUUUGGGUCAUUUUUAUCCAUGACACCCAUGAUUGCAACAUCAGUGUGAUUAAUUCCAUGCAAGGGAUUUAUCUAAAAUGUCUUUUCAUGCAAGUUUAGAUCAUUUGCUUGCACAGUGUUGUAAUACUUUACAAACAAGAAGCAGAGCAGCCCUGUGUCUGCCCUCCUUGGGGAUGGUGGUCGGUCUUUUUAGGCUCACAAGAGACAGAAGGAGGAACUGAGCACUCUGAGAAGACACUUUGAGAAAUGAGCUUGUGAAAUCCCACACUGCCAAAUGAGGCUUUGUUUUGCACAAACAACACUGAGACUUGAAUACUUCAGUUUUGGCUGACUGUAUGAGUCAAGUGAGUCAGAGCCAAUGUCCAUCCAGCUAGCAGUAGACCCCAAACAAAGAUGCUGGUGUGCACUGUGCUCCUGGCAAUCCCCUGAGCCAGAGGAUAUGGACCAGGAGUUAAAAAAAAAAAAAAAAAAA
Molecule: long non-coding RNA, 5586 nt
Filed under: Taeniopygia guttata (zebra finch)
Lineage: Eukaryota; Metazoa; Chordata; Aves; Passeriformes; Estrildidae
Description: lncRNA (ENSTGUG00000027789.1)
Source: RNAcentral